GGUAUAGGUUUUCGGACCUAGAGACCGGCGCACGGGUGCGUAACGCGUAUGCAAUCUACCUUUUACAGAGGGAUAGCCCGGAGAAAUUUGGAUUAAUACCUCAUAGUAUUAUUGAAUGGCAUCAUUUAAUAAUUAAAGUUCCAACGGUAAAAGAUGAGCAUGCGUCCCAUUAGCUUGUUGGUAAGGUAACGGCUUACCAAGGCAACGAUGGGUAGGGGUCCUGAGAGGGAGAUCCCCCACACUGGUACUGAGACACGGACCAGACUCCUACGGGAGGCAGCAGUGAGGAAUAUUGGUCAAUGGGCGCAAGCCUGAACCAGCCAUGCCGCGUGCAGGAUGAAGCAUCUAUGGUGUGUAAACUGCUUUUGUACGAGAAGAAACACUCCUUCGUGAAGGAGCUUGACGGUAUCGUAAGAAUAAGGACCGGCUAACUCCGUGCCAGCAGCCGCGGUAAUACGGAGGGUCCAAGCGUUAUCCGGAAUCAUUGGGUUUAAAGGGUCCGUAGGCGGUUUUGUAAGUCAGUGGUGAAAGCCCAUCGCUCAACGGUGGAACGGCCAUUGAUACUGCAAGACUUGAAUUAUUGGGAAGCAACUAGAAUAUGUAGUGUAGCGGUGAAAUGCUUAGAGAUUACAUGGAAUACCAAUUGCGAAGGCAGGUUGCUACCAAUACAUUGACGCUGAUGGACGAAAGCGUGGGGAGCGAACAGGAUUAGAUACCCUGGUAG
RNAcentral lists this ribosomal RNA (724 nucleotides) under uncultured Bacteroidota bacterium. RNAcentral describes it as "bacterial SSU rRNA". It matches the Rfam family "Bacterial small subunit ribosomal RNA", at positions 66 to 793 of the family's 1533-position model. The record is from RNAcentral. Lineage: Bacteria; Pseudomonadati; Bacteroidota.